Long non-coding RNA from Carassius auratus (goldfish), 3756 nucleotides. The record is from Ensembl. Lineage: Eukaryota; Metazoa; Chordata; Actinopteri; Cypriniformes; Cyprinidae.
AUCGUCUUAAAAUUAUUAUUAUUAUUAUUAUUACAAAUGGAACGCACAGGAUACAAAGCAUGCCUUCAAAAAUCGAAUCAAAAUUCAGCCCUCACUGAAAGCCCCGCCCAUUACAAUACUGAUUAAAUAGAAAAUAUUUGUGUAAUCUAAGGAUUAUAUUUCAUGCAUUGAUAACAACAAUCAGAAACAUGUUUGCCAAAUUUGUAUUUACAUUAUUAUUAUUAUUAUUAUUAUUAUUAUUAUUGUUAUUAUUAUUAUUAUUAUUAUCAUCACACAACGGUAAGCGACAACUCAGUGAUUGUUUAGUGAAGUGAGAUGAUUUACGCAAGCUCUGCUCUGAUCUCUGACUGUGUGCUGAGCGGAAGGGGAAAUAGUUCCUGUCCUGCACAGCUAGAGUUCAUUUAUUUCAUUUCCUCACGUGUGAUAUACAGUUAUUUCCAAGCCAGACAAUUAUUUUAAAAACUAUUGAAAGAAACGUUUAUUAUCGAUAUCAUAAAACGAGGAUAAAUUCUCAUGAAUUAACGAAUCAGAGUAUCGCGAUAUCAAGAUCCAUCCGCCUGCGCCUCCUGAAAUACUUCCAGCAGCGACACACACACAGCGUGCUCCAGCUGCAUACCUUAGGACUGUGAGCCCGUCUCCCGCUUAAAAACAACCCUCAAACUCACUGGAGGAGCUCAAACAAGACUCGAAGCCUCGAUAGUUGUGCAUGUGGUGACUAAAUAUGAAGGUUAAACUCCAUUCAGACGCUGAUUCGCAGACACAAAGUUGCUCCAGCAGUGAUGAGGAGGGAACAAACAGCGACAACCAGUUUAUCGUCGUCAAGCUUGAAGAUGAAGAUCCAGAAACCGAGAUGGAUCUGAGUAUAUUUGCCCCUGUCGAGUCCUCGGAGUGUGAGGAAGAGGAUGAUGAAGAUGACGAUGAUCUUUCCGAGUCCUGCAGUGUUUCUACCUGGAGAAGGAAAAACACCCGGGAGCGAGAUAACCAGGAGGAUCCUUCCAGGAGAAGUUUAACAGGACAGCGAAAGAGUCGACAGACCUCUCUAUCCGAGCAGAGACACAAGCAGAGUCUGGACUGCAGUGUGGCAAACAGGGACGUGAAUGUCGGACUCCCGUCUGAGAAUCACACAUUUUACCAAGCUGCGCCUCCGUCUGAUUCAGCCUGUCGAGGUCCCGUAGAGACGUCUGGACUGGGAACAGCAGUCAGCCCUUUAGCUGCCAUGGAGCCUCCUGUAUUUCCAAAUGCACCAGUACAGAGCACAUCUGUCGUUGGGGAGGAUCAGCAGAGUAUACUACUUGAGGUCCUGAACCAUUGUAGGUUCCUGCAUGCAGCAGUGCAGAGGCUUGAACAGAAGCUCGACCGACAGAUGUCAAAUGAGCCAUUAUAUGAAAGAAGCUCAGCGAUGCUGAAGAAUGGUCCAAAGAGAAGGGCGUCUCUGCGUGUUGAAGAAAGGCAGAUGUCCUGGUCUUUGGGCCAGAGACUUGAUCCACCAGUCCAGAGAAACCCACGCUGGAUCCCUCCCUGGAAACGAGGGCUGGACAAGGCAGACCUUCAGCAGGAUGACAACAGCAUCCCUCAGCCGGGCAAACCCCCCGGUGUAGGACGAGGCAGGGGGCGAGGCAGGGGCAGGGGAAGAGGCAGAGGACGGGGGCGCGGUAACGGAUCCCAGCGUCAGUCUCAAACUCAAGAUCCUGCUUCACUAAUCUCAAAGCCCAAUGGAGAAGAGGUCUGCACUGCAUCCACAGAAGAGCCACAGCCGUCCCAGGUAAUGAAGGAAGGCUGUCCGGCUGACACGGGCCCAAAGCGUCAGCAGAAAAGAAAGAAAUCCUUUACUCAGGUGGACGGGGAGGAUGUUCAACUGGAGAAGAUGCCCAACAGUAAAGAGGCCACACUUGAAGUUCAGGUCGACCAAGUAAUGAUCGGAAGCCCCUUGAGGAAAGUCUGGAUCCCUCUGUCUGUGUACAAGGAGGUGUUUAAGCAGGCGGAGCCCCAGAAGGCGGUCGUGCCGGUGCUCCACGCUCUCUUCCCCAUCAGCACACUGUCCUGCAGUGCGGUCACAGGAAACCCUGCAAAAGGCAUCCAGCAACUCGACCCCAACAAAAUAGAAGCCCUUCGAGAGUUUCUUGCUGAGAUGUACCCCCAGUUUGACGUCGGUGUGAGGGGUGUGACGUGGGCACAGUGUCUUGGAGUGAUAAACAACAUCAACAAAGACCUCAAGAAACAAGUGGAAAAAACCUCACACCUGCCAACAGAGGGCAUUUACACAAGGAAUGAUUGUUCAUACUCCUGAAGACACUCAUACUCGCUCGAUGUGCAACAACGUAACCAGUCUCAUUCACUUCAAUCAAUCAUCUGAACUGAUACAGUGUUCAUAACUGACUGUUUUGACAACAGCUGUCUUUUGUUCUCUCUACUAUAGCUGCUGAGUUCAAUGGAGAGAGGUUUUGGAUGUGUAAUAUAUUAACAAAUCCUCUGUUCUUAAUAAAUUUGUAUAUUAACUUUAAUUUUUGUUUAAACAUAUGUUAUUGUAUAUUUUAUAUAGCCAAAUAAAGACUUUUUCAGAUUUCCUGUUGAAAAUUAUUAGUAAUAUCAAAGUAAGAAUGAGUAUAAAUCAUGAAUUAAAUAUAAGUAGCGCAUUCAAGAAAAACAAGUAACAGCUACUGACAGCAUUUCUUGACACAAACAGCCUCAGCAAUACGGAGGUGAAACCUUUUCUACACAGAGUCGUUUUGAUCAGAUACUCAGCACUAGCGUAUGCCCAUCUUGCACUUGUAUCGAAACUUGCGGAUGGUGCUGUUUAUAGCACCUACACAAACCUUCCAGUCACUUCCGUCUUCCUUCAGCCUCAUCCAGGGAAAACAUUCCAGCAAGUGCUCUGAAGAAGAUCAGGAACCGAGAACUAGACCUUAUUCACAAUCACUUAUUGUCUUAUUGACAAUGAAUGCCAUGCCGCGUCUCGCCGUACACGUUACUGCACACCAGCACAUCCUCUGGGAAGAUGAACUUAAUGAGGUAUCAAGCGCUGAGCUCGGGACGUGUUCGCAGAUGCGCGGCAGACAAGGCAUGCUCAGGAACCUUCACAUCCCGAUAAGGGGGUCCAAGAUGCACUGGAAAAUAAGACUUUGAAUAAGAAUACAAGUGUAACAUCUGGGCACAAUAAACAUGGCUUCAGGACAGAUCCAAAAAAAGUAGGGCUGGGCGAUUUUGAAAAUUAAAACCGUGCAUUUACAAUUAUUUUGUUUAUCAAAGUAUCACUAUUUUCACAAGCUGUGCUGACAUUUACAUCUAACACUGAAUGUGACCCUGGACCACAAUAUCGGUCAUAAGGGUCAAUUUAUUUAAAUUGAAAUCUAUACAUCAUCUGAAAGUUUAAUAAAUAAGCUUUAGGGCAACAUUUAACUGAGAUACAACUAUUUGAAAAUGUAAUCUGAGGUUGUGAAAAAAAGAAAUAAAAUGGCUAAAUAUUUAAGUAAAUGACCUUUAAAGUUGUCCAAAUUAAGUUCUUAGCAAUGGAUAUUACUAAUCCAAAAUUAAGGUUUGAUAUAUUUACUAAAGAUGCCGGGGCCUUGAGCAAGGCAUGGCCGGGGGCUUGAGCGAGGAACAGAUGGGGGCUUGAGUGAGGAACGGCCGGCAGGUGGUGCAUGAACUUCAUGCACCAAAAGCUUGUAAACUCCGAAGAGAAAGGAAAGAUUUUAAUUGCUUCAUAUGAACCCUUUAAGACCCGUUUUCUUUCAGGGUAACAUAUUGUAUAUGCUGUGC